This is a long non-coding RNA of Brassica rapa (field mustard), 1256 nucleotides long. RefSeq lists it as uncharacterized. Lineage: Eukaryota; Viridiplantae; Streptophyta; Magnoliopsida; Brassicales; Brassicaceae. The record is from RefSeq and is a predicted model, not a curated record.
GUCAUUUAUUCAACAUCACUCUCUCUCACAACGCCUCGUCUUCUCUCUUUCUCUCGAGGCGACUCUGAGGCGAAACGGUGAUCUCUCUGCAACGAUGAUAUCUCCGUCUCGUCGACGGCAUCAGCUGGAGUCUCUAUCGGUUGAAUCGCCGUCUCUCUCUCUCUCUCUCUCUCUCUCUCUCUCUCUCUCUCUCUCUCUCUCUCUCUCUCUCUCGUUAACGACUCUGCGUCUCCCUCGCUCUCCUCGACGAUUCCGCCUCCCUGUCGCUCUCCUCGACGACUCCGCGUAUCUCUCGCUCUCCAUGACGGCUCACCUAAAUCAAGAAUCGCUCCACCUCUCUCUCUUCGGCCCGUGGCUAUCCUCGACAAAUUCAAACCGAAAGAAAAAGCUAAGUUUUUUUUCCUCUUAUGUAUGAAUCAUUCGUUGUUAAAUUGAUUCGUGUCUUGUGUUGCAUGCGUCUCUUGUGUUUUUUAUGUCUCCUGAUUGAAGAGAUGAUGUCUCUGUCUUUGUUUGUUUAUGUCUCUGUCUUUGUUUGUUAAUCAUUCUUGUGAUAGUGCAUUCUUGUUAAAUUGAUUUGUGUGUUGUGUUAAAUCGAUCACUUUGUUUGUCUCUCCUGAUUCAAGAGAUGAUGUCUGUGUCGAUCAAUAUAUCAAUCAGUUCUGUUGUUUGGUUUUGUCUCUGUCUUUGUCUAAGUCGAUCAGUACUUGUGUUUGUUUAUGUAUCAUGAUUCAAGAGAUGAUGUCUCUGUAUUUGUUUCUUUAUCGUUGUUGUGAUUGUUGAUGUUAAUGUCUUUGUUUAUGAUUCUUCUCUGUCGAUCAAUAUAUCAAUAUAUCAAUCAGUAUUUGUUUCUUAAUCUUUCUUGUGUCUGCAUCGUUUUAGUGUUGAUUCUGUUUCUCGUGUUUCCUUUUCAGAUGGACAGUUAAAGAGACAAGAAGGUUCUUCAAAGAAGAGGUAUGUGUUGUGGACGGAUGAAGAGACACUGGCAAUUUCAGGAUGCGAGUGUAGCAUUGGGAGUUGAAGCGAGUCACGGUCUUGGCAGUGUACUGAAGAGAGUCAUGGACUUGGCAGUGUACUGAAACGAGUGAAGUCGUGUAGUGUAGUGUCUUGUGUUGUAUUUACUGAACUCUUGUAUCACGGACUUGUACUGUAAUGUGUAAAGACUGAACUCUUGUGUCACAUGUCUUGUAUUAUUAUUGUAUGUCACCCUCUCAUGUAGUCUUUUUUUCAUCAAGUAGUAACUCCUAUUCAACCUUCUA